RNAcentral lists this ribosomal RNA (253 nucleotides) under uncultured bacterium. RNAcentral describes it as "partial 16S ribosomal RNA". It matches the Rfam family "Bacterial small subunit ribosomal RNA", at positions 524 to 776 of the family's 1533-position model. The record is from RNAcentral.
UACGUAGGUGGCAAGCGUUGUCCGGAUUUAUUGGGUUUAAAGGGUGCGUAGGCGGCUUUGUAAGUCAGUGGUGAAAUAUGGCAGCUCAACUGUCAGGGUGCCAUUGAUACUGCGGAGCUUGAGUACAGAUGAGGUAGGCGGAAUUGACGGUGUAGCGGUGAAAUGCUUAGAUAUCGUCAAGAACACCGAUAGCGAAGGCAGCUUACUGGGCUGUAACUGACGCUGAGGCACGAAAGUGCGGGGAUCAAACAGG